UACGUAGGGGCCUAGCGUUGUCCGGAAUUAUUGGGCGUAAAGAGCUCGUAGGCGGUCCGACAAGUCGGAUGUGAAAUCUCCACGCUCAACGUGGAGGGGUCAUUCGAAACUGUCGAACUCGAGUCCGGUAGGGGAGUGUGGAAUUCCCGGUGUAGCGGUGAAAUGCGCAGAUAUCGGGAGGAACACCAGUAGCGAAGGCGGCACUCUGGGCCGGUACUGACGCUGAGGAGCGAAAGCGUGGGGAGCGAACAGG
Molecule: ribosomal RNA, 253 nt
Filed under: uncultured bacterium
Lineage: Bacteria
Description: partial 16S ribosomal RNA
Rfam family: Bacterial small subunit ribosomal RNA
Source: RNAcentral